This 857-nucleotide ribosomal RNA is filed under the name uncultured bacterium. RNAcentral's name for it is "bacterial SSU rRNA". It matches the Rfam family "Bacterial small subunit ribosomal RNA", at positions 524 to 1380 of the family's 1533-position model. The record is from RNAcentral.
UACGAAGGGUGCAAGCGUUGUUCGGAUUUACUGGGCGUAAAGCGCGCGCAGGCGGAUUGAUAAGUCAGAUGUGAAAUCUCGGGGCUCAACCCCGAAACUGCGUCUGAAACUGUUGAUCUAGAGUUAUGUAGGGGAGAAGGGAAUUUCGCAUGUAGGGGUAAAAUCCGUAGAGAUGCGAAGGAACACCAGAGCCGAAGGGGCUUCUCUGGGCAUACACUGACGCUGAGGCGCGAAAGCGUGGGUAGCAAACAGGAUUAGAUACCCUGGUAGUCCACGCCGUAAACGAUGAGUACUAGAUUUUGGGGCCUUUGACCGCUUCAGAGUCGCAGCUAACGCAUUAAGUACUCCGCCUGGGAAGUACGGUCGCAAGACUAAACUCAAAGGAAUUGACGGGGGCCCACACAAGCGGUGGAUUAUGUGGUUUAAUUCGAAGCAACGCGCAGAACCUUACCUGGGCUUGAAAUCCCGAGAAGAUCGGCCAAAACUGAUUGUGCUCUUCGGAGAACUCGGUGACAGGCGCUGCAUGGCUGUCGUCAGCUCGUGUCGUGAGAUGUUGGGUUAAGUCUCGCAACGAGCGCAACCCCUAUCCUUAGUUGCCAGCAUUAAGUUGGGCACUCUAGGGAGACUGCCUGGGUUAACCAGGAGGAAGGUGGGGAUGACGUCAAGUCCUCAUGGCCCUUAUGUCCAGGGCUACACACGUAAUACAAUGGUGCAUACAAAGGGACGCGACCCCGCGAGGGUGAGCAAAUCUCAAAAAGUGCAUCUCAGUCCGGAUUGGAGUCUGCAACUCGACUCCAUGAAGUUAGAAUCGCUAGUAAUCGCGGAUCAGCACGCCGCGGUGAAUACGUUCCCGGGCC